RNAcentral lists this long non-coding RNA (18257 nucleotides) under Panicum hallii. RNAcentral describes it as "long non-coding RNA (PHAL_LNC000163)". The record is from RNAcentral. Lineage: Eukaryota; Viridiplantae; Streptophyta; Magnoliopsida; Poales; Poaceae.
CAGGGGCAAGGUUCUAGUCAGAACAAUAAGAACAAGCUAAAAAGAUAGACUGUUCAAGUUCAGCAGGGAAGGAUCAAUUUCUCUACAGUUGCACCAGUGAUGUCGGUUGACUGGAGCAAAAAUAUUCUCCAAGAUUGAUCUUCGUUUGGGCUAUCAUCAAAUCAAGUUUCGACCAUGUGAUAUUCCAAAGACCACUUUCUCCACUCGAUAUGGACUAUAUGAAUAUUUAGUCAUGUCUUUUAAUCUCACAAAUGCUCUGGCCUACUUCAUGUAUCUCAGGAAUUCGGUUUUUAUGCCGGAGCUUGACAAGUUUGUCGUAGUUUUCAUCAAUGACAUUCUUAUUUAUUCCAAGGAUGAGGAGGACCAUGCUAAACAUUUGCACAUUGUUCUCCAACACCUUAGAGACCAUCAGUUAUAUGCUAAGUUCUUCAAAUGUGAAUUCUGCUUGGAUAGUGUGAAAUUCUUGGGCUAUACUAUCUCCAGUAAUGGUAUCUCAGUUGACCCCAGUAAAGUUCAAGAGGUGAUGGAUUAGAAAACUCCCACUUCAGUUCAUCAGAUUCGUAGUUUUCUUGGUUUAGCCGGUAUUAUCGCUGCUUCAUUCCGGAUUUCUCCAGAAUUGCUAAACCUACGACCGAACUAUUGAAGUAAGGAGUAAAAUUUAUGUGGAAUGAAGAUUGUGAAAAAGCUUUCCACACCCUCAGAGCACAUCUAACUUCAGCCCCAGUCUUAGCUCAACCUGCCAAUACCAAACCAUUUGACGUUUACUGUGACGCUUCUGGUACGGGUUUGGGUUGCAUACUUAUGCAAGACAAUCAGGUUAUUGCCUAUGUUUCAUGAGCACUUCGGCCCGUGAAAAGAAUUACCCAACACACGAUCUUGAGUUAGCAGCUGUCAUUCACGCUCUCAAGAUGUGGAGGCACUACCUUAUGGGCACCCAUUGCAAUAUUUAUACCGAUCAUAAGAGUCUCAAAUAUAUAUUCACACAAGCCAACCUGAAUAUGAGACAAAGACGAUGGUUGGAAUUAAUCAAAGAUUAUGAUUUUGAGGUGCACUACCAUCCAGGCAAAGCUAAUGUAGUAGCGGAUGCACUCAGCCACAAAGCUCAUUGCAAUUGCCUAUCUGCCGCAUCAUACAAUAAGACGUUAUGCUCUGAAAUGCGGAAACUUAGGUUGGAAAUGAUUCCUCAAGGAACCUUGAAUCACAUUGCUAUUGAACCCACUCUUUAUGACCGUAUCAUCAUGGCACAAUUACAUGAUAAGGGUGUUAAGAUCAUCAACCAGAAACUAUCUCAAGGAGAGGAGAAGUACAAAUGUUUUCAUCAUGAUUGCAAGGGAAUUUUAUGGUUUGAGAGUUACAUUGUCGUUCUGAAAAAUCACGAACUCCGAAAGAGUAAAUCAAAUUCUCGAAGAUAUACUUAGAGAUUGUGUCAUUCAUUAUGACAAGAAUUGGGACAAAUGUUUACCUUUAGAAAAGUUCUCGUAUAACAACAUCUAUCAAGCAAGCCUAAAGAUGGCACCAUUCGAGGCAUUGUAUAGACGAAGGUGUCGAACUCCGUUGAGCUGGUCACAAACUGGAGAGCGCAAAAUCUUUGGACCAGACUUGGCAGUAGAGGCAGAAGAAAAAGUUAAAGUUUUCCAAAGAAGUCUUAAAGCAGCUCAAUCUAGGCAAAAGAGUUAUUUUGACAAGAGGAGGAAACCCUUGAAAUUCGACGUUGGUGAUCAUGUAUACCUUCGGGUUUCACCAAUCAAGGGUGUGCAAUGAUUUGGAGUGAAAAGAAAGUUAGCCCCUCGUUAUGUUGGUCCGUAUGAAAUCAUUGAAGAAUGUGGACCCAUGGCCUAUAGAGUGCGACUUCCUUCGCAGCUUGCAGCCAUUCAUGACGUUAUUCAUGUCUCUCAACUAAAGAAAUGUGUCAGAGUUCCUACCAAAAUUGUUGAACAACAAGAAAUCAUGGUGGAACCAGACCUCUCUUAUGUUGAGCAACCCAUCAAAAUCCUUGACUAGAAGGAAAGAAGUACCCGAAGGGCGGUGAUUAAAAUGUAUAAAAUUCAGUGGAACCAUCACACUCAAGAAGAAGCCACAUCGGAAACUGAGAGUUAUCUCAAUCAAAAGUUUCCUAGUUUUCAUGGUUCCAUCCUAGGUACACAAUUUCCGCACUUAGUUUUUAUCCGAAUCUCGAGGCGAGAUUCUUUUUACGGGGGGUUGGUUGUGACACCCUAGGUGUCUAAAAGACUAAGCAAAGAUCCAAAACAUGAAAUUAGUCACAAAAGAGCAAGAGAAGUAUGAAAAAACCUAUCAAAUCUACCUUUCAAGCAAAUGAAUAUGUGUAGAUGUAUAUAUGCAUAAACAUUGGAACUGUUGCAAAUAAACACUUGUAACUUUCAAAGUUAAUCACAACUAACUCUAAAAAUUUAAUGGAACAUUUGUCAUAACAAGAGCAACAAAAGUCUAGUUGAACUCAAGGGCUAACAGUGUAAAAAUUCACAUGAAAUAAUGUGUCUUUUAAAUACUUAUUUUUGGAAUUUCAAAAUAACUUUUUAUACAUUGCUCAAAUGGAUAUAGUCAUAAAAGAGAAAAUGUUUGUCUUGAAAAGUUGAACAAAAUUGGUAUUCAAAUUUUUUAUUUGACCUCCUCUCACCUCCCACUGCCCUGUCCCAUCGCCGGCAGGCCAGCUGGCCGGCGCAACCCGGCGCAGCUGAGGUCGCUCGGCCAAGUGGGCCUACCAGCGCACUGGAAAUCAUUCACAGACCUGCAAAAUCUCGUGCCCCCGAUUUUGCCGCUGGUCUCACCUUCUAACGGCUCGAGCCUAGGCCAUCAUCCUCCCCCUCGUGCCUAUAAAAGCCCCACCCGAGGCCCGUGAGCUCGACGCCCCAACCCCAAACUCCGAUGAGUCGCCACCCGUGAGUGGACACACCACUCUGCCCGACCGGCCCUUCCCUUCGCCCUUAAGGCAGCGCCAGCUGCCCAGCUCAUUUCUCCUCCCCUCGCCCUGCCUAUAAAAGGGGCAGCCGAGCCCCUUCCUGCACGCACACUUGAAACAGAUGCCAUUAUAGCUGGCAAGCUCGAGUUCAUCGUGGAGCUCCCACACCCAACCUCUCUCAGCCCAAAAUGACACUCUAGCGAGCUUCCCCACCUCCCACCGGAGCUUCCCAGCCCAGCCAUGCCAUUCCUGCCCCGCCGGAACAGUGCCAGCGCCACCCCCAACUACCGCUGCCUACUGUCUACCGUGGAGGACCCUGUUCUAGCCAACCCCGAGCCCCACCAACGCCACAAAUCGGUGCGCCCCGGCCCCCUCUCUGUUUCCCCCACCUUCCUCCUCGCCGCCGACUAGUUUCCUCACCAGAAUUUGGCCGGCAGUCGCCAUUCCCCUGCACAAAGGACCCUUUUAUUUCGAUUUCAAUCUUUCCGAGAAGAUUUCUGUAAAAUCUCAGGGACUCCUUUGUAAAACUAAAACUAGAACUUUCAAAACCAAUCUAUUAACUUUGAAGAUGCAAAACAACUCACAGAAAAAUCCUAAGAACACAAACUAUGAUAUUCUGGACUCCUUAAGUUAAGAUCUACAACUUUGUAAAAAGAUAUUGAAUUGUUUCCACAUAAUUUUAGCUGUAGAUUUAAAUCAAAUUUAAAAGGCUUUUAAUUGUUCCAAGAGUUCCAUGAAAGAGCUGCUCAUGAAAUUUGGAUGGUAGCUUCAGUACUAAGAGUUUAGUCUUUCAUAAAAAUCUCAUGGUCCGAAUCCAAUCACAACAAGUUGUUUCGAGUACUUUUGUGAUAGGCUAGAUCCUUUUAAACUAAAAUGUUAGCCUCUAUUUCUUGCAUAGGAAAAAUCUACAAAAAUAUGCAGUAGACUACUCAUGCGAGUAGGUUUGUUGAGUGAAAGUUGAGCGCCAAUUCUUGCAUGGUUUGUUCGGGGCAAAUAGAUCUUGAUCCUAGCAAUAGUUGUUUAAUGAUCUUUUCAUGUUUAACCUGCUGAAUAAAAAUGGCUAAAACUUUUAUGGUGUGUUUGCACUUAAGUAGCAAGCUCUGCAUAAAAAAAUUUCAAACUACCUCUACGAGUAGUUUUGCAUAAAAAUCUCAAUCAGAAAUUACCUAUACAAGUAGUUUUGCUUAAAAAUCUCAACCAGAAACUACCUCUACGAGUAGUUUUGCACGAGCUCUGCAUAAAAAUCUCAACCCAGAAACUACCUCUAUGAGUAGUUUUGGUUAACCAAUGCUUCCUCUGGGAAAUGACCGUUUACAACAUGCAAAACCACUCGCUCACUUAAUGAAGUCGGUUAAUCCAGAUAAGUACUCGAUAAAUGACUGCCCAGGGAAAAGAAAAUAAAAUGCUCGACUACUUAACUUAAGUUUCGACUAUUUUAUAGUGCAAUAAUUAUUAUCUUGUACUAGUAAAACCACUCAUACAUGUGCAUUCAUAUAAACUCGACUACUCUCGCCGACGGAACCUACAAUCUGGUGCCCGAGUCCGAGAGUGAGCAGUGCAAAGCUCAGGAGAAUAUAACAGAAUUUGCUAAAGACCCGAACCAACGUUCGGUAGAACCCCCGACUAGUUUUGCUCAAGAAGGCAAACCCCGGUGCAUGAUCCCAGUAUUUAAUUUAUGCAACUGUUGUUCCUUUCUAUCCCCGCAUUUAAGUUCAUAGGAGUUGAUUAGAACCCUAGCUGCAUGAUCCUAGGCACCAAUGUAAUGAAUACUAGAACAAGAAGUUCGAGUAGCUGCUCUGCUAAUAGGUACUGUAAAAGUUGAGUGGUUUCCUGCCACUCGGGAGAAUUAUAGGAGUUGGAUAUUUUAGCACAUACUGCAACUAUAAGGUCGACAGGUGGGGCUAUGGUAAAGUACUCAUGGUUGAGACCCCGUCUGAGUAGUGAAAAAUGCUAAGGCCGCAGUGUGUGGUAGUGGUGGUUAAGCGUUUGAACGUACUAACCACAUGCCAAGAGUAUGGUAAUCAGUAAGCUUAAGUACCUAAUUGAACCAGUGCGUGGACAGCACCCACCGUCUUGACGCUGUUCCCAUGGGCCCAAUGGUGAGUGCAAGAGCAGUCAUGGCCUGGCGUCGUCCGUGGUUCGUGGACCUCUUGUACUCGAGGACAGUGGACCUCUUGUCGUCCGUAAAAGUUGCACGUGUGACUCUGUGAGUAACCACGUGUCAUGUGUUUAGGUUUACCUUGCAAGGUUAAGAAAUUCGAUUUGAAUCAUCCAUUUCUCAUGGUAAUUGAGACUGCUUAACACUUCUGCCACAUAGAGUAACAAGAGGAACUAUGGCUAUGAUGAAACUUGUUGGAUGAUUAAAUAUUUUUCCACCAUGUUUGCUUAGAGAUAGACGCUCACCUAUAUUGGUUAAAUGAACUAGAAUAUUGAAAGCUAAAAUAUGAAAAUUAAGGACUUACUCUUUGUUGCUUUUUAAUAAAAAGAAAACCCCAGAACCUUAGAGCCAUGCAUGCUUAGUAGCCGGUAUUUAUAUACCACUGGUCGGGUAAGCCUUGUUGAGUAUUAGUAUACACAGCCUUGCUUGUGGCAAUAUUUUCAAGUGGGUCUUUUGAAGAUAUGAUAGCUGGUUUGACUUGGCCGUAUACUUUGUCGACUAGUUAGUCCAUGGAGUGGGAUCCGUCCCCGGCCAACAAUGACUCUGCCAAGUGAUACCACGUAUGGGCUUCAUCGUGGUAUCCAGAUCGACGCUAGAUGAUCGUAUUUUCUUUCCUCUACUCUUAAUCUCUGAAUAAAGUUUUAUGUUGAACUCUAAAGUACUCAUUUGGUGAACUCGACUUGUAACAAUUGAUGCUAGACUUGUGAGAUAAAAGCUAUGGAAUAUUGUAAUCUCUGGACUUGCCUUCGUGCGAGUUAUGUGCACGCUUUGUUUCGAUUGAAAUCUUAAGUGGUCGUAUCAGGAUUUACCCGACAGAAUGUCGGAUCACUCCGUUUGAAGUGCAUGGUAGUCGGUUCAUCUAUGAACAAUGGUUAGUGCACUUGAGCCGGGUUAAUUCAGGCGGUUCUGCCAUAAUGUGCUUAUGCACAAUGGACUGAUGCAGAUCUUUUUAGUUAUGACGUCUACUAUAUGGGCAUAGUAUUUCAGCUUCUUCACCAAAUUUCUCUAGAAUGAAGUUCGUGAAUUUGUUGACACCAUUGAUGUAUUCAUCUGAAAACAAUGUACAGUGCACCCAACUUCCAUCCAUCUGAACAAAUUUUGCAAAAAAAAUUCAUAAAUCCACAAAUGUGUACAUGGUACGUUUAAUAGAACCAAGAAAAAAAAGGGCAGACACAUACCUCUGCUGCUGGCUGGUGCUGAGCUGAGGAAGAAAUCAACGACAGGUAUGGCGCCGAGAUGGGGAAGAAGGCUGCAGUGUUGAGAUGGAGAAGAAGUCCGCUGUAAUGGCUCCUCUUGUUGGUGCUGCAAUGGCCGUGGGCCGCCGGCGAUGAUGCAGGAUGCCGCACCCCAAAGGCAAUUGGAGAAGGGGCCCCCUACAUAGAUCCACCUCUCCUCGCCGCGCAAUAGGCGCUUCCCCGAAACGAGCAUCCGCUGGUGUCGCCAACUCUGCCGUCGGCCGCGUGAACAGAGGAGUCUUCUCGGCAGUCAACUUCGUGAGAUCUGAGAUUUAGAUGAGAAACUAUGAUUGUUUAUUUGAAGUAAUAAAGGAAAAUAUCAAACCAUACACUGGUUUAUGCGAUUUGGUGAAUGGAGCUUCUAGUUGGAGAACCAGGUUCGAUCCCUCCUUACUUAUUUUUUUCUUAUUUUUUGGACAUAUGGGCUAACUCAGGUGAUUUGGGAUAUGGAUUGGCGCAGUUUGUGACGAUUUCUGUUCCCCACUCUAUGACGUUUCAUAGAGUUCCAUCACUAAAAUCGGGCCCAAAUUGGCCCUCUCGCAGAUCCGUGAUGAAAUGUUAAAAAGUCACAAAUCUUACCCUAUUUGUGACAUUUAUUAUGAACGGUCACUCGAAAUUCGUCAUAGAUUAGAUGGUUUGUUGUAGUGACUAGAGAAGGAUUUUAUGAGUAGAAUGAGGUUGUUUGGUUUUGAAUGUAUUUGCGUCUUUAUGGUAUUUUUAUAAAAAAAGUUUUGAUGGUAUCAAAAGCGAUUAGAGAAGUGUUUACAAAGUAUCAAAAUAAUGGUUUGUAGUCAAAUUUUAAAACUGAUCAUAUUAUUCUUUGUAGUCAAAUGACCAAUAUAUAGAACCUGAUUGGUUACAUGCAUGCCCUGGGAUGGCUCAUAUGUGUGUGCAAGGCCGGGCGUAUGCAAUGCUUCUUGAUUUGGUUGGCUGUAUCUGUAUUUCUACCUAAGGUGAUAUGGUGUUUGAUGGCUCGCUCGAGGACAUGUUGUGUGAGACAAAAAAAAUAAUCCUUAACAUGGUAUUUAUUUGUGUAACUAUUAUCUUACAGCUCUAGAUUCAUUAAGUACUCAUUAAUAGUAUUUAAAAUACGGUAAUCUCUACUAUUAGUAAAGCAAUCAAUGAUUCCUUCGUCCAUCAAUUAGAGUCCUAAUCGGAAUCUGGGUAACCGUACGUUGAGUUAAGGGUCCGAACCCAUUUAGAAUUAGCGUUUUGCGAGUAAAAUAGAAAAAAAACUGAAUUCCUCAACCGACACGUACUAUUAUAAAAUAUAUAUGAUGUAUAAUAUAUAUAUUUAUAUACUAAUUAAUAUACUUAUAUGGCUCCCGUAGCAACGUACGAACAUGUUAACUAGUCUCAUUUAAUUUGUGCCUAAGGCUGACUCCAACGGAGUAGCCAUCCGGCCAGUCAAAGCGAAAAUGCCUACCGCGCGGGUACUGUAGUGCGAGAAUGUGGCUUCCAACGGCCAGCCAUUUGGGCCAGCCAAAAUUGCGGCAGGAGAGAGAAGCAGCAAAACUGGCUGCUACUGUUCGCGCUAGCCUUCGGUGUUGGGCCCACUCGUACCAAUGGUAGCACGGCGGCUUCUCCUCGUCCCGCUCCCCCUCCGUCUCCAUCGGUAUCGCCUUCCCCUCCUCCCCGUAGGGUCGCGCCUAGCGACAACCGCUGGCGGCGCACUUCCCUCCUCCCCACCUCGACCGCCGCCGGCGCAUCCCGUCCUCCUCGCCUCGGCCACCGACGCACCUUCCCCUCCUCCCCGCAGGGUCGCGCCCAGCGACCACUUCACCGCCGCCGGCGCACUUUCAUCCUCCCCACCUCGACCGCCGCCGGCGCGCAUCCCGUCCUCCUCACCUCGGUCACCGACGCGCAGACAAGGUGCUAUCUUCCUCCCUGACCCUUUGCCUUCUUCCUGCUUCCAUGUUGCGAUGAUUUGUGCGUAGAGCCGUAGAUCUGGGGGAGGCAGCGACAGCCGUGGCAGUGCCCUUGCACAACUGUACCUUCAUUGUACUUGAUGGAUUUCCGGUCGAUGCUGCUUGCGGCGGGGGCAUAGGAUGUGAUUGUGUUGGAUUUCCUUCGAUUUAGAUCUGGGCACGAUUUCCUUCGUUGUAGUUGAUGGACCUUGACCAUGUGGAUGUAUAUACUAUUUUGCUAAGCACAAAACUGCAACUAUGGUGAUUAUGAAAUUUGCAACUAUUUUAUUGGCUGAAAUGUGAUAUUCUAAUUGUGUAGGAUGAUUGUGUAUGUUUCUAAUGAGUAAAUAUGAAGUAAUCAGAAUUAUAGAGGAAAGGUUACUAACCAUGUGAGCAAAUAUGAAGUAAUCUGAGUUGUGUAACCUGUAUUUUCAGUUUCAAUUUCAGUUUCACUGCAUCUUUUGUGGCCUCUGAUGCUGAUUGUGUUCGAUUUCCUUUGAUUUAGAUGUGGGCACGAUUUCGUUCAAUUUAGUUCGUAUGCCCUACUUGCUUGCAGUAAUGGAGUCAAUUAUUUAACAAAGUAUAUACUCAUUAUUUCAGGUUGGAGAACCAAUUCAAUUACAUGUUUCAGGGUGGUCCAUCUCAAGGAGGUGACAAUUCCAAUGAGUUGUCAUUACCUCUGCCGUCAACCAUAAGGGAACUUGAGAAGGUAUAACUUGAGAAGGUAUGUUUCCUUCCUAAUUUGGAUUUUGCAUACCGUACUUUUUAUGGUUCACUAAUCACAUCUCUAUUUUUUUCAGUACAACCUUAACGGUGCAUUUAGUGGAUCAAUGCAUAACAUGGGUGUACCAACUCAGCCUGCAAGUCCUCUUGUCAAUGCAUCGUUUCAUCUUGCUCCCACCGAGGACCCAGAGGUUGAAGAGGUCGAUGGAACCCAAGUCUCAAACAAUAAGGGGAAGAAGAGGGUUGCCCAGCGAGGAAGGUCAUUCACCCAUGAGGAAGAUAGGGCAAUCUGCUCAGCAUUUCUGCAUGUUAGCAAGGACCCUAUUAUCGGUAAGCUGUAGCCGAUGACUUAAGUACUCCAUUUUUCCAUUGUCAAGCCUUUACGAGACAUGCUAUUUAACGUUGCCGCUACAGGAACCAACCAAACUUCUGCUGGGUACUACACGAGAAUGCAUCGACACUUCGUGGACAACAAUGGAGUGAGUACAAAUAGGACUAAGGUUUCAAUAGAAAACCGGUGGGGAACAAUUUAGAAGGCCGUCAACAAGUUUUGUGGCUUUUAUGACGCUAUCGAAAGGAGGAAUCAAAGUGGCAAGAAUGAGCAGGACAGGGUAAACCAUUUUAAAUAUUUAUUCAUUUGUUUUGUUGAUUGUUGCGCACAAUGAAUGUUUCUUUGGUUUGGACAGAUUAAUGAUGCCAUCAGGAUGUACGAAGAAAUCGAGCCAUGGCAAUUCCAUCACUGUUGGCUCAUUCUGCGAGGAGAGCUGAAGUGGCACGCGAGGAUGGUGGAAUGUAACAUGGCUCAAAGAGUUAACCAAAGGCCUGCCCCAAAAUGCUCCGAAACAGAAACAUGUUCUGUGCAGGCUGAAAGUACACUCCCAGACAGACCUGAACGAAGGGACAGCACCAAGAAGAGAGCCCGGAUAAUGGCUGAUACCUCAUCGUCAAGUGCAACAAUGGAAAUGCUGCAGAAGAUGCAUGAUAGAGGAGAGAAGAACGAUGUAAAGGAAGAUCAACUUAGGCACGAAAUGUUCAAGAUGGAGAGAGAGAGGCUUGAGCUGCAGAAGCUAAACUGGGAGAAGAAAUGGGUUGCCUGGGAGAAGAAAUGGGCAGUAAUGGAGUCCAAUGCCAUGACAUGAUAGAAUGAGUAUGAGUUGAACCAAUGGAACGCGGAUCUUAUGGUCAUGUCGCAGGAUCUUGACAAGUUAGCUCCACCACUGCGUGCAAUGUAUCCGCAGAAACAGGGGGAGAUCAUGAAGAGGAGAGGCAUCUCCACCCCUCCAACUAGUGAUUCCUGAGUGUUUGUAAGCUGUUAGUUUGUAAGCUGUUUGAGGCUUGAGUUGUAUUCGACUAUUUUUAUAAGAUGUUUGUGUGUUAUUUACAGAACUAUAUUUUGGUAAAGCUGUUUGUCAGUUACUUACACAACUAUAUUUUGGUAAAGCUGUUUGUGAGCUGGUCCGUUGGAAAUAGCAGGGCCUGCUAUUUCCAACGGACCAGCUAAAAUAGCUGGAGACUUUGGCCCAGCCUGGUUUGCGCCACGGAAAGGAAAAGUGCCGGGAGUUCCCUCGCUCAACAUUUCAGUUGCCGCCACAGCAGCGAAGUUCUCGCCCUCCAUGCGACCGCCGCCGUGACCCAAGCAUCGGCGACCCCGACACUCCGGCGGCCGGCAAGAGAUUUCCCGCCUUCGGCACACGUUUGUCAUCGGACGACCCUCACCUCCAGGCUCCAGUGAUGUAGGUCCGCACCGGCACUCUGCUUUGAUUUUGGGGCUUGACCUUGAACCGGCGCUCUGCUUCCACACACAAUCUCCAGGCCAGGCCAUGACCACCGAGACAGGAGCUAAUUGAGGUUUAGUCUAGUGUAUUGCUUAAUCCUUGUGGAGUCUUAGUUUCCUUCAAGGUCCGGUCUGAAUUUGUGCUUACAUUUCAAUACAUCGUAGCUGAGUACCUCCUUUGUAUUUGUGCUUAUGCUUUGAACAUAUCCCCAGUUGUUUAUGAUUUCAUAACGUUAUUUGUAAUGACCGUGGUACUGAACUUAAUGUGUGAUCUAUGUUGUACAGACUUCUCGAGCAUGUCUUCUUGGUUGCCUGAAGGAAUCACUUUUUGGCAUAAUAAAAGGAAGAAAGAUGAACAAUGCAUGGCAACUUCGAUUGUCUUGGCUUCGUUAGAUCCUUGUAAACGUAAGAGGGGUGGUUCGGCUGUAGGACAUUAAUUUAUGCGUCGUGAUAGAGAAGCAGCUUUUGAACAAAUCAUGAGGGAUUAUUUUGUUGAUGAUCCUCUGUACAGCGCGGAGGACUUUCGACAGCGGUAUGUACCCUUUCCUAUUGUCAGUUGUCACCCUUUUACCUUAUUUCUUGAGAUGGUACGCUCCAUAAACUAAUGGCCAAUGUAUUGCCUUGUCAUGCACAGGUUUAGAAUGAGAAAGUCCUUAUUCCUUGACAUGGUCUAGAAGAUUACCGAGAAGAAUUCAUAUUUUCUCCAACGCGAGAAUGCUUGCAAGCACAGUGGUUUCCAUCCCAUUCAUAAAUGCCUUGUGGCUAUGAGGAUGCUUGCCUACGGCAGUCCAGCUGAUUCGUUCGACGACACAUACCGCAUGGCCGAGUCAAUAGUUCUUGAGACUGUGAAGCAAUUUGCAAGAACCGUCAUUGCUGUUUAUGAGUCUGAUUUCUUGAGGCCACCAACUGCAAGUGAGCUUGAGAUAAUUUUACGAGUCAAUGAAGCUAGAGGUUUUCCUGGGAUGAUCGGUAGCAUUGACUGUAUGCAUUGGGAAUGGUCUAACUGCCCGACUGCGUGGCAUGGCCAGUACAAGGGGCACAAAGGCAAACCAACCAUAAUUCUGGAGGCUGUUGCUACGCAGGACUUGCGCAUCUGGCAUGCAUAUUUCGGAUUGCCUGGGUCCCAUAAUGACAUUAAUGUGCUUCAUAGGUCCCCGGCGUUUGACGACCUCGCUGAAGGACGAAGACCGCAAUUUGAGUUUGAUGUUAAUGGAAACAAGUACAACAUGUGUUACUAUCUUGCCGACAGAAUAUACCCUGAUUGGGCUACGUUGGUAAAAUCAUACAGUGAGCCGAUUAGUCUAAAGGAGAGAGUAUAUGCAGAAAGGCAGGAGUCAGUAAGGAAGGAUGUGGAACGAACUUUUGGGGGGUUACGGUCCAGAUUCAGGAUAAUUUAUAACCCUGGUAGGUUGUGGAGCCAAAGUGAUCUAAACGACAUCAUGCGUGUUUGUGUUAUUCUACACAACAUGGUGAUUGAAGAUGAGAGAAAUUUGUACAACAAUCACCAGGAGUUUGAGAUGUCUUCAGACCCACCGAUUUCUCAGAAUAGAGAUGUGCCAGAAAUUUCUCAGUUGAUUAAUUCGUCCACCAAAAUUCGUGACAAGGCCACGUCUAACAGAUUGCAACGAGACCUCAUGGAGCACAUUUGGUUUCUCUAUGGCAACGAUGCAGGACCUUUUGCAAAUAGACAGGGCCGGCAGGAACAUGGAACUCUGCGUUAAUAAUGAUGUAAUAGUUAUGUAAUAGUUCUCUUUUAGUUGUGAUAUAAUAGUUAUGUAAUAAUUCUCUUUUAGUACUCUGCAGUUAAUGAUAUAAUGUGGUAUAUAUUUCUGGUUUAGCAUCUGUAAAGAGCUCACAAACAGCUUUACCAAAAUAUAGUUGUGUAAAUAACUGACAAACAGCUUUACCAAAAUAUAGUUCUGUAAAUAACACACAAACAUCUUAUAAAAAUAGUCGAAUACGAAUAAACAUAGUCGAACACUCUGGUCUCAAGCCUCAAACAGCUUACAAACUAACAGCUUACAAACACUCAGGAAUCACUAGUUGGAGGGGUGGAGAUGCCUCUCCUCUUCAUGAUCUCCCCCUGUUUCUGCGGAUACAUCGCACGCAGUGGUGGAGCUAACUUGUCAAGAUCUUGCGACAUGACCAUAAGAUCCGCGUUCCAUUGGUUCAACUCAUACUCAUUCUGUCGUGUCAUGGCAUUGGACUCCAUUACUGCCCAUUUCUUCUCCCAGGCAACCCAUUUCUUCUCCCAGUUUAGCUUCUGUAGCUCAAGCCUCUCUCUCUCUCUCCAUCUUGAACAUUUCGUGCCUAAGUUGAUCUUCCUUUACAUCGUUCUUCUCUCCUCUAUCAUGCAUCUUCUGCAGCAUUUCCAUUGCUGCACUUGACGAUGAGGUAUCAGCCAUUAUCCGGGCUCUCUUCUUGGCGCUGUCUCUUCGUUCAGGUCUGUCUGGGAGUGUACUUUCAGCUUGCACAGAAUAUGUUUCUGUUUCGGAGCAUUUCGGGGCAGGCCUUUGGUUAACUCUUUGAGCCAUGUUACAUUCCACCAUCCUCGCGUGCCACUUCAGCUCUCCUCGCAGAAUGAGCCAACAGUGAUGGAAUGGCCAUGGCUCGAUUUCUUCGUACAUCCUGAUGGCAUCAUUAAUCUGUCCAAACCAAAGAAACAUUCAUUGUGCACAACAAUCAACAUAACAACUGAAUAAAUGUUUAAAAUGGUUUACCCUGUCCUGCUCAUUCUUGCCACUUUGAUUCCUCCUUUCGAUAGCGUCAUAAAAGCCACAAAACUUGUUGACGGCCUUCUGAAUUGUUCCCCACCGGUUUUCUAUUGAAACCUUAGUCCUAUUUGUACUCACUCCAUUGUUGUCCACGAAGUGUCAAUGCAUUCUCGUGUAGUACCCAGCAGAAGUUUGGUUGGUUCCUGUAGUGGUAACGUUAAAUAGCAUGUCUCAUAAAAGGCUUGACAAUGGAAAAGUGGAGUACUUAAGUCAUCGGCUACAGCUUACCGAUAAUAGGGUCCUUGCUAACAUGCAGAAAUGCUGAGCAGAUUGCCCUGUCUUCCUCGUGGGUGAAUGACCUUUCUCGCUGGGCAACCCUCUUCUUCCCCUUAUUGUUUGAGACUUGGGUUCCAUCGACCUCUUCAACCUCUGGGUCCGCGGUGGGAGCAGGACGAAACGAUGCAUUGACAAGAGGACUUGCAGGCUGAGUUGGUACACCCAUGUUAUGCAUUGAUCCACUAAAUGCGCCGUUAAGGUUGUACUGAAAAAAAACAGAGAUGUGAUUAGUGAACCAUAAAAAGUACGGUAUGCAAAAUCCAAAUUAGGAAGGAAACAUACCUUCUCUAGUUCCCUUAUGGUUGAUGGCAGAGGUAAUGACAACUCAUUGGAAUUGUCACCUCCUUGAGAUGGACCACCCUGAAACAUGUAAUUGAAUUGGUUCUCCAGCCUGAAAUAAAGAAUGUAUACUUUGUUAAAUAAUUGACUCCAUUAUUGCAAGCAAGUAGGGCAUACGAACUAAAUCGAACGAAAUCGUGCCCACAUCUAAAUCAAAGGAAAUCGAACACAAUCAGCAUCAGAGGCCACAAAGAUGCAGUGAAACUGAAAUUGAAACUGAAAGUACAGGUUACACAACUCAGAUUACUUCAUAUUUGCUCACAUGGUUAGUAACCUUUCCUCUAUAAUUCUGAUUACUUCAUAUUUACUCAUUAGAAACAUACACAAUCAUCCUACACAAUUAGAAUAUCACAUUUCAGCCAAUAAAAUAGUUGCAAAUUUCAUAAUCACCAUAGUUGCAGUUUUGUGCUUAGCAAAAUAGUAUAUACAUCCACAUGGUCAAGGUCCAUCAACUACAACGAAGGAAAUCGUGCCCAGAUCUAAAUCGAAGGAAAUCGAAGGAAAUCCAACACAAUCACAUCCUAUGCCCCUGCCGCAAGCAGCAUCGACCGGAAAUCCAUCAAGUACAACGAAGGUACAGUUGUGCAAGGGCACUGCCACGGCUGUCGCUGCCUCCCCCAGAUCUACGGCUCUACGCACAAAUCAUCGCAACAUGGAAGCAGGAAGAAGGCAAAGGGUCAGGGAGAAAGAUAGCACCUUGUCCGCGCGUCGGUGACCAAGGUGAGGAGGACGGGAUGCGCCCCGGCAGCGGUCGAGGCGGGGAGGACGAAAGUGCGCAGGCGGCGGUGAAGUGGUCGCUGGGCGCGACCCUGCAGGGAGGAGGGGAAGGCGCGUCGGUGGCCGAGGCGAGGAGGACAGGAUACGCGCCGGCGGCGGUCGAGGCGGGGAGGAGGGAAGUGCGCCGCCGGCGGUUGUCGCUAGGCGCGACCCUACGGGGAGGAGGGGAAGGCGAUACCGAUGGAGACGGAGGGGGAGCGGGACGGGGAGAAGCCGCCGUGCUACCGUUGGUACGAGUGGGCCCAACACCGAUGGCUAGCGCGAACAGCAGCAGCCAGUUUCGCUGCUUCUCUCUCCUGCCGCGAUUUUGGCUGGCACGUUGGAAGCCAUAUUCUACCCGCGCGGCAGCCAUUUUCACUUUGCCUGGCCGGAUGGCUGCUCCGUUGGAGUCAGCCUAACCAUGCAUUAACAACGUGAGUAUAUGGGUAAGUGCUCGCGUUUCGCGAGUCCGGCAAUGGCAUGAGGGAAAACAAAAACCAUUUUCGUUUCUCUGAACCGAUGCUCUUGUGAUCAAGGGUCCAGCUAUGAUGCAGCCAACCAAACAAUUAAAUCUGUCCCAUAGGCUAGUCAAAAAUAAAAGAAACCAAUCAUGCAAAUUAGAAUAGCCACUACCCACAUUUGUUGAGCUUAACAGGGCUGAUGGAGCAACAUUGGCCCCAACUGGUACGAAGUAACGGUCUAGUCAUCCAAUUAUUCGAUCCAAUUCCAACGUUCCCUAACAUGAGUCGUCGAGUUUUUAGGGCAACUUUAAUGUAUUUCGAAGAGUGCUACAAUCUGACACAUGAGGGAGGUGCUAAAUUCUGAAAUCUCUCUCCAACGCUACUUUGAACUAAGGUAGAUCACACAGGUAGGUCCCAUAGUUUACUUGAAAUAUUUCUCAACUGCUCUCCACGAAAGCAUCUCCCUCCAGUCGAGCGGCAAGUGCAACACAAGUGCAGCAUGCAGUUCUGACACACAUAAAUAAAAUAAUCUAUACCUCAGAUGCCCAAAGUUGCCACAGGUAUCAGACGACGCUAGUCCAGCAUCUCUGGUCCAAUGUUUUGCACCUCAACUACCUUUUUCUCUCAUCUCUGCACCUCCUUCGUAAGCACACUGCAGCUGCCCUCAUCCAAGCAGAAAAACACAGACAUGGCCUCUACGUGGCGUCGACGCCCGAUCGCGUCCAACACGCCACUUUGGUCUCCACGCCCACAGUCCAGCUAGCCCACGUCAACAACACGUCGCUAUCCGUCGCGUCCUUGGAUCAGAUCAGAUCGCACGCGCCUUUGAUAUAUAUCCACAUAUCCAUCCGCGCCACCUCCGCUUGGACCGCUUUUAUAUAAGAAAGCCACAGCACCGGUCUAGCUCGUAUCACUUUGCAUCUCUUCACAUCUCUGAUCUCUAUCUUUUCCACCGUAAAAUCCUCUAAUACACGAAUAAUACCAGUAAUGGAUGGGGAGAUGGACUGGAUCGCGGCGCGGUUCCUGCUGUCCACCAUACUCGGGGUGCACCCGCUGGUGGUCCUGGAUGACGGCGGCCGCGACGAAGAGCACUUCCCCGUGGACGACCACGGCCAGCGCGUGAUGGUGCCGGCGGCGAUGGUGGCGCCAGAGGGGCUGGCCGGCGUGUCGGUGUGCGCGGUGUGCACGGAGGAGGUCACGGCAGGACAGGCCGUGGUGCGGCUGCCGUGCGCGCACUGGUACCACGCCGGCUGCAUCGCCCCCUGGCUGCGGAUCAGGAACAACUGCCCGACGUGCCGGGCCGAGCUGCCUCGGGAGGCCGGGGCGGAGAGGCCGCGGCCGCCGGUGCAGCAUGCCGCACGGCUGGCGGAGGCGGCGAUGGAGACGGCCGGCGGCGGCGGGAGGCAUCCUACACGAUGCUGGCCGGCACGUUACCCAGCUAAUAAUUAAACUAGCUACGAUCCGGUGGACGUGACAGCCUGACAGGCAACGCGUGCGUGACAGUAGUACUAAGAUAUUUGAAUUUUUUUUUAUAUUAACUACGUCUCUGCCUGCAUCGUUGCUACAUAAAAGUUACAUUUUCAAUAACAAUCUAAGUGCACCGACGUGCAAGCCAUCACAUUGACAUUCUCAAUAACAAUCCAAGUGCACCGGCGUGCAAGCCAUCACAUUGACCGGAUCUUCAUUCUGAUUAAACUUGGUUGCAAAACAAGUGAUGCUAGGAGCGUAGCUGCACACCAUAUAGCAUCAGGCAGAGAAACCGGAGAGACUCCGGUGAAUUGUCGUUGUUCUCCUUCACAUACGUUUCUUUCGCAAUAAAAUGCACAUGAUGGAGCACCAUGUCGUAUGUAUUAUUCUUGUUGAUUGUGUAAUGUUCAAAUGGUCUUGCUAAAGGUAGCGACUGAGGAUACUAUUUCUUCAUUACUUUCUCUGAGCAAUACAAAUAGGCUCUAGUGCUCCACGGAGUUUACACAUGCGCAUUAGUUUGAGCGGUCCUCUUUGCCAACACAACAACACAAAACAAAGCUGAAGGUACACAAACAUCUUUAUUUUGAAAAAAUAUCUUAUCUAGUUUUCCAUGGAUCAACAUACUUUUCAUAAUUUAAAUUUCCAGGAAUGUAAGGAGGAGCUACACUAAGCCUCGGUGUUGAUCUACACAUGAUUCCUUAUAAUCCUCUAAGUAUGCUCUGAUGAUGAUCUCACCGCAGUACCAAAGCUUUAAAUUUAGCAUCACAUGGGCAAUUGACGUAAGUAAAGACUGUCAUAUGAAUGAUCCACUAAAAAAGGACUUGCUCAUGUAAAAUUAACACUCACCGCCUAUACCUCCAAACAUUCCACUCAUCUCCUUUGAUCUCAUUUGUUUCAUCAGAGACUGCAACUGCAGCAGGAAGACAUUGCUCAUAUGCUCGACAUUCAUGUUGCUGUACAGUGGGCUCAUCUCUCGUUUCUUUUGGGAUCUUGAUCCCUUUCAUCUUGCCCCCAGAUUCUAGUAAGCCGCUUGUACUCUUCCAGCUAGUCCCUGACAGGCCAGCCGGACCCUAGGCAGUCCCAAUGAUCCGUGAUUCAGUCAUCAGAUUCAAAUUUAUGCUGUCAAGCUCAGAGAUGAAAGCUAAGGCAAAAUUAAAAUUGUAGCAUGCUAUUACAUACUUUCCCCGUUCUAUUGCUACUGCGGGUCUUAUGCAAUCGAUCGGAUCAUAUAAAUAUCCCUUCAAGACAACAUAGGUCAUCGAAAGGAUCUCGGACGACUCACCAAAGCACGAAAGCCAGUUAGAAAAUGGAUUCCUAUUUGAAGAGUGCAUAACCGCAUGGAUAAGCUCACAUUAACCCGUCAAUUUUGGAUCCAAUUCGGGAUUUUUCUUGGGAAGUUUCGGGAAGAAAUUGGAAUAAUAUCGAUUCAUACAGAGGAAAAAGUUCUCUAUUGAUGCAAACGCUGUACAU